AAACCAAAGGCUAUAAAAUAAAUAAAUACUAUUUUUCCCACAGACAGAGAGAGACAGAGAGAGAGAGAGAGAGAGAGAGAGCUUGCACUCUUUCAUCCAGGCUUUUAUUAAUUAAGAAUAUUAAUGUCGUUGUUUAGCUGCGAACGUAAAUGCUUCCCAGUAGGUAAUUCAGUCUGUCUCCUGCUUUCUCACAAGCAGAAUAGGGCUCUCUUAACAGUAAAGUUGAGCAAAUCAAUCUUUGAGCUGAAGAAGAUUUUCACUAAUUGGACUGCUUGUCGUUUGGGACCACACCAAUUAUGCCCACCGAUACUAAUGCAUUAUGGUACUGUAGAUUCGUAUAAAUCUGGCAUCUGGCCUCACUCUACCUACUGAAAUUUGCCUAAACCAAAACCCUAUAUUCAAUAACAAACCCUACUAUCCUAUCGUCUUGGUUUACACACAAAAUUAAUCUCUUUAAGAUGCUUCUCUCUCUCUCUCUCUCUCCCCUGCGUCUCUGACUGAGUAGCUAGAUUCUCUUGCUUCUUGUUUUGCUCAUGUGAGGUCAUAAAGAGCAGUGUCCGGCAGAGCUCAGCUGAUGAAGAAGCUACGAUUUUUCGCACUUCAUAAGUGCCAAAGCAGAGGCUCUCUUGCAAGCAGGUACGGUAAUGUGGUCAUUCCCUCCCUACCCUCUUCUGAAAUUGGCUUACUUUUAAGGCAUGCUUGGUAAAAUCUGUUAAAUUCCAUGAAUUUGAACUGUUUUUUGAGGUUUUAUAUAGGCAGGCUUGGUUUUAGAUUUCUUCUUACGUUUGUUUGGUGUACGAUACACAAGAGACAUGGUUGUUUCCUAAGGUAACAUGAGAAUCCGAGAAAAGUAGAAGUUCAUGAACAAGGACAUUUGCAUAUGAGAGUCAAUCACUGGAACUCUGAGUUGUUCGGGAAAGAAAAGUAAAGAAAAAUAUGAAGCAACUGUACCUGAGGCGUUGGUGGGUAAGCGAGUGCACGCAAGAGAGGAUGAGGAGCUUGGAUUCUCUCUGAGUCUUUUGGGAUUCUCUCCGCGGAGUUGAAGGUGCUGCUGCUGUUGCUGCAAGGCAGAGCGCUGUUGUUGCCUCUCUCGGCGUUUAGAAGCAGGAACCCAUGUGCUUUUGACAUGGGUUUGGCAGUCGAAUCCUCGGCUCUUGCAACAAGUUCUACACCGCAUGUAUACACAAUCUUUCCUGGCUUGGUUGCCGCAAUCUUGGCAGCUCAUGCCUCCUCCUCCACUGCUGGACCUCAUCAUCAUGAAGGCUGAUCUCGACGAAGACUCAUCAGAGAAGUUGAUUGAGCUCCUGCCGGGGCCCACCCCUAACCCAGCAGCUGAAGAGUAAAGAUCUUGCUGUGGAUUUUGGUGGCGUUGGUGGAGAAAUUCUUGCUGUUGCCAUAGCUCAAAACCCUUGUAAGGAAUGUCUUCGUUUUUGUACCAGAACCAGCCUUCUUGUGGGAUUUCACUUGGCGGGUUGUUAUGCUGGUCGUCUUGGUUACUUCCCCCACCACCACCUCCUAAUGAGAACAGCCCAGCCAUUGUUCUAAACCUGACCCAAUCCUCAAUUGUGAGAGAAAAUCCAUAUCAGAAGCUACUGGCUCUCUGGGUUUUUUGACUAGUGAAUAGAGCCCUGAAGUGAAAUGUAGUCUUUAGAAAUUCUGGAAUUAUGGGUUUUGAGUGGAAGAGAGAAUUAUUCUUACAAUUUA
Molecule: long non-coding RNA, 1704 nt
Organism: Hevea brasiliensis (rubber tree)
Lineage: Eukaryota; Viridiplantae; Streptophyta; Magnoliopsida; Malpighiales; Euphorbiaceae
Exons: 2
Source: RefSeq, a predicted model, not a curated record